Molecule: ribosomal RNA, 407 nt
Filed under: uncultured bacterium
Lineage: Bacteria
Description: bacterial SSU rRNA
Rfam family: Bacterial small subunit ribosomal RNA
Source: RNAcentral
AGUAACACGUAUCCAACUUCCAUAAUCAGGGAUAGCCUUUCGAAAGAAAGAUUAAUACCUGAUAGACUUUUUUCAAGGCAUCUUGAGAAGUUAAAGAUUUAUUGGUUAUGGAUGGGGAUGCGUUCCAUUAGAUAGUUGGUGAGGUAACGGCUCACCAAGUCUUCGAUGGAUAGGGGUUCUGAGAGGAAGGUCCCCCACAUUGGUACUGAGACACGGACCAAACUCCUACGGGAGGCAGCAGUGAGGAAUAUUGGUCAAUGGGCGAGAGCCUGAACCAGCCAAGUAGCGUGAAGGAUUGAAGGUCCUAUGGAUUGUAAACUUCUUUUAUAGUAGAAUAAAGUGAUCCACGUGUGGAUUUUGUAUGUAUACUAUGAAUAAGGAUCGGCUAACUCCGUGCCAGCCGCAGC